This 468-nucleotide ribosomal RNA is filed under the name uncultured bacterium. Its description in RNAcentral is "partial 16S ribosomal RNA". It matches the Rfam family "Bacterial small subunit ribosomal RNA", at positions 28 to 507 of the family's 1533-position model. The record is from RNAcentral.
GACGAACGCUGGCGGCGUGCUUAACACAUGCAAGUCUAACGGAAAGGCCCUGCUUUUGUGGGGUGCUCGAGUGGCGAACGGGUGAGUAACACGUGAGUAACCUGCCCUUGACUUUGGGAUAACUUCAGGAAACUGGGGCUAAUACCGGAUAGGAGCUCCUGCUGCAUGGUGGGGGUUGGAAAGUUUCGGCGGUUGGGGAUGGACUCGCGGCUUAUCAGCUUGUUGGUGGGGUAGUGGCUUACCAAGGCUUUGACGGGUAGCCGGCCUGAGAGGGUGACCGGCCACAUUGGGACGGAGAUGCGGCCCAGACUCCUACGGGAGGAAGCAGUGGGGAAUAUUGCAGAAUGGGGGGAAGCAUGAUGCAGCAACGCCGCGGGCGGGAUGACGGACUUCGGGUUGUAAACCGCUUUCGCCUGUGACGAAGCGUGAGUGACGGUAAUGGGUAAAGAAGCACCGGCUAACUACGUG